UAUCACUCUUGAUCAUAUUUUUACUUAAAAAACUAAAAUAAUAUUAUCCAUAUUUAUAUAAUAUAUAGUGCUACAAAUAACCUAAUUGUAUCUGGAAAUAAAUACUCAGAAAAAAAUGUAAGACUUCAAAUAAAAGUUUUCAAUGAAGAAAGGUGAAUUGCAAUACAUGAGCCAAAACUUAACUAUGUAAAUGCAGACCUCAAACAGGAAACCUUGAAGACUAGAAAGCCCUUCUGGUGAUAUGAUUUGAGGGAUAAGGAGGUUAAUUGAGGUCCAUGGGAGGCAAUUUUGAGUAGAAGGUCAACAACACACAAGGACUGCAGUUUGGUAAUGGGUGAGGGAAACAGGGAUGCAGUCAGAAGGUUGCCUUAGGCAGAGUUGAGAUUGAACCUCAUGUAGAAGGAUAAGAGGGUUAGAAAUGUAUGCAGAUGCCAAGUAAAUCAAUUCUGCAUAAAGUAGGGGGAUACUGAGGAAUGAACACAAAUAGGAAUGUAUCAGAAUAUAUUAAAGUAAGGGUAAAAUUACUGGAGAACAUGAUCUGUGGUAGAGGUAAACAAUGGGAAUGAGAUGGGGAAUAUGUCUUCAUAUGUACAAUGCACAGAAAUGACAUUUUGUAAGACCAAUACUGUAUUAUUUAUAGAACCUUUAUUCUAUUUUAAAAAUAUAGAUUUUUUAAAGAGUAAUAAAGGUCUUCAAGAACAAAAAUUAUAAUGUCUGCAAAUAAAAAUAAAGAAAUUGUUUUUCAAUGCCAUUGAAAGAUUGGAUGAGAUUAAGGAGGUCUUAAGAGAAAAAAUAAUUUUAUUUUGAGGGCUAGGAAAAAUAUCAUAUGCCAUGUAGGAGUUUUUGUUUGUCUGUGGUACUGGAAAUCAAACUGAGGGCCUCAUGUGUGGACAUACACUAUUACUGAGAUAUACCCCUAACCCUGCCAUGUAGUAGUUUUGUGAUAUCAAUAAAUGAAUAAACAAAAUGACAUAUAAAAUAUAUAAAAUUUAUUAAGUAGUUAGAAAUUAUUAAAAUUUUAAAGGAGUUAAAAUUAACAUACUUCAAUGAUGCAGCACAUCAAUGUUUAUAACAGAUCAAUUCACAAUAGCCUAGCUAUGGAAUCAAUCUAAAUGCCUAUCAACAGAUGAAUGGAAUAUUAUUCAGUCAUUAAGAAGAAUGACUUUAUGACAUUUGCUGGUAAAUGAAUGGAUGGAUUUGGAGACUAUCAUGUUACAUGAAGUAAGCUAAUCCCAAAAUCUAAAGUUCACAUAUACUCUCUAAUAGUAGAUGCUAAACCUAAAUAAGGGUGGGAGGGAAAAAAAG
This 1305-nucleotide long non-coding RNA is filed under the name Marmota monax (woodchuck). Lineage: Eukaryota; Metazoa; Chordata; Mammalia; Rodentia; Sciuridae. The record is from RNAcentral.